RNAcentral lists this long non-coding RNA (938 nucleotides) under Oryctolagus cuniculus (rabbit). RNAcentral's name for it is "lncRNA (ENSOCUG00000031303.1)". The record is from RNAcentral. Lineage: Eukaryota; Metazoa; Chordata; Mammalia; Lagomorpha; Leporidae.
AUAUAUCUUCUUAUAUGUUUCUCAUUCUUAUUUAUUGGGCAUCUUUUGGACAUUUUGCUCAUUGAGAGAUGGCUGAAAUUAUAUCUAUCGUCAAAAGGCCAAGGCAGAUCUCUGUGUGGCAGUCUUUGAAGAUAUGGCUUCAGUUUGGCUAUUCCCUUUGGACUAUUUCACAAAUGGUGCUGGAGUCUUGCUCUGCUAUGUGUCAGAAGUUGGAGGAGAGGUUGGGGCAGUCCCUUAGCUGCCUGGGCCUGGGAUCUGGACCAGAGAGAACACUGUGGAUUGGGAUUGUGGAGGAGGCAGAUUCUUGGAGGAGACACCAUGAAAGCAGAGUCUAGGAGAGGGGGAAACAAGGGCUUCUGAUCCAGCCAUGCUGGUAGCAAUGGACCUGCCCUCUUGCCGUUCCCUCUGUUGGUGUAGCCAUCCCUCCGGAAGUGUCAGUUGACUGAAGGAUGGCAUUGACUCCAUAGAAGGUGAUGGUAUCUAUUGGAGGUGACUCACUAUCAUGAAAUCUACUGUCAAAAAGUCUUUAAAUGUAUCCCCUUGAACUUGAAUACAGAAUUAAGAGAUGUAAUGCAGAGCUCUGAUCAAUUUUCCAGGGCUAAUAACUUCUUAUAAAGAUCUAUCUAUGUAGGAAAAGCACAAGGAUACUGGGGAAAUACCUGGUUGAAAACUACAUUAGUUUAACCCUUGAGGGAAUGUUAAAACUACUUUUAUUGAAAGCUGUUUUUAUAGUUAAUAUCUCCCUUUUCAAGCACAGCAAGAAUAAUGACCACAUCAACAAUGUUCAUAUUCAGCCAGUGCAGGCUGCCUGGCUGCUCCACCCUGGGAAUUCUCCUGCCUUGAUUCUCUAAGAACUUCUUUUUUUUUUUUUUUAACUUUUAUUUAAUGAAUAUAAAUUUCCAAAGUACGUCUCAUGGGUUACAAUGGCUCCCCCCCCC